Long non-coding RNA from Etheostoma spectabile (orangethroat darter), 829 nucleotides. RefSeq lists it as uncharacterized. NCBI's taxonomy places the organism in Eukaryota, Metazoa, Chordata, Actinopteri, Perciformes, Percidae. The record is from RefSeq and is a predicted model, not a curated record. The transcript is spliced from 3 exons.
UCACCUAAAAUAUAUGUGUUUUUUUUAAUAUAAUUCACAGUUGAAAUAUAUAUACUGCUUAAAGUGUGCCAUGUAACCCAUUAAUGAAUUGUUUUGAUGAAAGUAUGAACUACAUAUUAGAAACAGCUAAAACUAAAAAACUUAUAUUCGUUAGGUGUGACCUUUGUCACACUUUUAAGUGUGCUAAGGGUCACUUACUGUAACAGUGGAACUGGUCUGAACUGGUCAUCUGCUGUGGCCACCUGUGUGAUAACGUAGUGGUGGAAUUACCCUGUUUUACAGAAGGGAGGGGGUUUUUAGCCUUGACUUUUAGUAUAAAUAUGAGUUGAUGUGGCCACUUUCUUCAGCGAAAGCAUACCCACUUAUCGGGUUUUAUCUAGUCUCUGAUUUUGAUACUCUUUGCUUUUAGGGCAGAAAGGGAAGGGAAUAUUUCUGUUUUUUGUACUUGUUUUUUGAUUAUUCACUAAAUAAUAAAACCACCUGAGCUUGUUGUGAGCUAGGGGACCAAAAGACUUGUAUUCCUUGAUUUUAGUCAUUUAAUUUCUCUCUCUCACACCUCAGCUUUCCGAGGGUAGAAGUUUCCCUCUCAUGAGGGCAGUUAAGACUCCUCUUUAACCACCUGGGCGAGUUGCAGCCCGGCGGGGAUCGACAUUGACAGUCAGACCUCCUGUUAUCUCCUAGUGGGAGUGCAUUCCCCAUCCGCUCUGCCGGUCAGAGCCACCGAGCACUUAGCCUCUCUCGGACCGGCGACCAACGAAGGCUAGCGGGCGUCCUUGAGAAGGAGGGGACCUCCGGUGACCCUGGGAGGAACGAUGAGACCUUGAAGUUU